GGGAGAUGAAAGUCUCCACCUCCUGUGUCGUCGAACAUCGUCGAACAUCGUCGAACA
Molecule: unclassified non-coding RNA, 57 nt
Filed under: Foot-and-mouth disease virus
Lineage: Riboviria; Orthornavirae; Pisuviricota; Pisoniviricetes; Picornavirales; Picornaviridae
Description: RNA (57-MER) from Foot-and-mouth disease virus (PDB 7DTE, chain F)
Source: RNAcentral